RNAcentral lists this long non-coding RNA (985 nucleotides) under Heterocephalus glaber (naked mole-rat). Its description in RNAcentral is "lncRNA (ENSHGLG00000040319.1)". The record is from RNAcentral. Lineage: Eukaryota; Metazoa; Chordata; Mammalia; Rodentia; Bathyergidae.
CAGGACAUGAACCGUUCCUUUUGUCCAGCAUAUUCAUGCUGUGUACACUACCUGCCUCAGUUGUCAGAUUGACUAUGGCAGUAUUGCAGUGCUGUAUUCAUUACCCCUAAUAUAGAAGUUCAAUUCUACAUUACAGUACUUGUUCAGUUUUCUCCAUGUCAUCAUGUAGACACUGUAUCAUCAUGUCUCAUCAUAAGGGUCAGACUCCUCCGUGAUCCAAACCUGCAUGCCUAACUGUACCUGGACAUCUCCACAUGGCUGUGUCAUCAGCAUCUCACAGUCAACGUGUUCAGAAUCGCACUGAUGUUCUCCAAGCCCAGAUUUGCUCUCCCUGCUCAAGCUUCAGACUUCACGACAGGCUCCAUUCCCUGCCCAUUCAGAAACCUGGAAGAUUCCAUGGAUUCUUCCUUUUUAUUUGCAUCCACACUCCAUUGAAGUUUAAGCCCUGCCCACUCCUUGUUUCUGAUGUCUCAUGAGCCCAUUCUAUUCUGUGUUCUCUAUCCAAAGUCAUUGUCUUGUUAGAGUCACAUUUCUUGGCCCGGUCCAAGGGAAUGGUUUUCUAAAUAGGCUCAAUGCCUCGUCUUUUUCUUUUAAGAUCAUUGUAUGGCAGUGUCUGAUGUUCUGUCUCAAAAUCCAUUAGUAACUUUCUGUUAAAUUUAGGAUAAAAUACAAAGCUCUUUACCCUCUGGUGUUUACCUUUCCUUCCAUCUUGAUCUCUAGUCUGUGCCCACACACGGAAAUGCUUGUUGUUCUUUUGAUAGGCUGUGUUCUCAAGCUACUUUUCUUUUAAGACACUUUUUAUUCAUUCAAAAGAUGUGUAUUGAACACUUAUUAAAAGCCUGCAUGCUAUACCAUGUUUCUACUCUCAUGGCCGUACAUUCUAGCCAGGGAGACAGAAAGUAAACAUGUGGACAUAGAGGAUCAUAUAUGUAAUGAUAUAUGUCAUCAAGAAAACAAGUGGACAAUAAAACAUCAAGAAUCUGGA